GCCUGCCUGUGAUAUUAUUUAACGGCCGCGGUAUCUUGACCGUGCAAAGGUAGCGCAAUCACUUGUCUUUUAAAUGAAGACCUGUAUGAAUGGCUAAACGAGGGCUUAACUGUCUCCUUCCCCCAGUCAAUGAAAUUGAUCUCCCCGUGCAGAAGCGGGGAUAAACACAUAAGACGAGAAGACCCUAUGGAGCUUUAGACGAAAGGAUAGAUCAUGUUAAGAAUGCUACCCUAACUAGCAAAAACAAAUUGAACCCUACCCUAAUGUCUUUGGUUGGGGUGACCACGGGGAAACACUGAACCCCCGCGCGGAAUGAGGAAAAAUCCCUCAAAACCAAGAGUUACCGCUCUAAGUAACAGAACAUCUGACCUUAAUGAUCCGGCAAAGCCGAUCAACGAACCGAGUUACCCUAGGGAUAACAGCGCAAUCCCCUUCUAGAGUCCAUAUCGACAAGGGGGUUUACGACCUCGAUGUUGGAUCAGGACAUCCUGAUGGUGCAGCCGCUAUCUAGGGUUCGUUUGUUCAACGAUUAAAGUCCUACGUGAUCUGA
RNAcentral lists this ribosomal RNA (550 nucleotides) under Lucania goodei (bluefin killifish). RNAcentral describes it as "partial 16S ribosomal RNA". It matches the Rfam family "Bacterial large subunit ribosomal RNA", at positions 1857 to 2608 of the family's 2925-position model. The record is from RNAcentral. Lineage: Eukaryota; Metazoa; Chordata; Actinopteri; Cyprinodontiformes; Fundulidae.